RNAcentral lists this transfer RNA (76 nucleotides) under Klebsiella pneumoniae. Its description in RNAcentral is "tRNA-Ile". It matches the Rfam family "tRNA". From Rfam's summary of the family: Transfer RNA (tRNA) molecules are approximately 80 nucleotides in length. Their secondary structure includes four short double-helical elements and three loops (D, anti-codon, and T loops). The record is from RNAcentral. Lineage: Bacteria; Pseudomonadati; Pseudomonadota; Gammaproteobacteria; Enterobacterales; Enterobacteriaceae. RNAcentral also lists the same sequence under 39 other names.
GCUUCGAUAGCUCAGUUGGUAGAGCAAACGACCGAUAAUCGUUAGGUCACUGGUUCGAGUCCAGUUCGGAGUACCA